GCGGACGGGUGAGUAACACGUGGGUAACCUGCCCAAAAGAAGGGGAUAACAUUUGGAAACAAGUGCUAAUACCGUAUAACCAUGAUGACCGCAUGGUCAUGAUGUAAAAGGUGGUUUUGCUAUCGCUUUUGGAUGGACCCGCGGCGUAUUAACUAGUUGGUAAGGUAACGGCUUACCAAGGUGAUGAUACGUAGCCGAACUGAGAGGUUGAUCGGCCACAAUGGGACUGAGACACGGCCCAU
This 242-nucleotide ribosomal RNA is filed under the name uncultured bacterium. RNAcentral describes it as "partial 16S ribosomal RNA". It matches the Rfam family "Bacterial small subunit ribosomal RNA", at positions 98 to 334 of the family's 1533-position model. The record is from RNAcentral.